GAAAGAUCUCCCAUGCUCAUGGAUUGGCAGGAUUAAUUUAGUAAAAAUGGCCAUUUUACCAAAAGCAAUCUACAGAUUCAAUGCAAUCCCCAUCAAAAUACCAAUCCAAUUCUUCAAAGAGUUAGACAGAACAAUUUGCAAAUUCAUCUGGAAUAACAAAAAACCCAGGAUAGCUAAAGCUAUCCUCAACAAUAAAAGGACUUCAGGGGGAAUCACUAUCCCUGAACUCAAGCAGUAUUACAGAGCAAUAGUGAUAAAAAAACUGCAUGGUAUUGGUACAGAGACAGACAGAUAGACCAAUGGAAUAGAAUUGAAGACCCAGAAAUG
This 327-nucleotide long non-coding RNA is filed under the name Rattus norvegicus (Norway rat). Its description in RNAcentral is "long non-coding RNA NONRATT030833". Lineage: Eukaryota; Metazoa; Chordata; Mammalia; Rodentia; Muridae. The record is from RNAcentral.